GAUGGACGCUGGCGGCGUGCUUAACACAUGCAAGUCGAACGGUGAAGGCGGAGCUUGCUCUGCUGGAUCAGUGGCGAACGGGUGAGUAACACGUGAGCAAUCUGCCCCUGACUCUGGGAUAAGCGCUGGAAACGGCGUCUAAUACUGGAUACGAGCUGCGAAGGCAUCUUCAGUAGCUGGAAAGAAUUUCGGUCAGGGAUGAGCUCGCGGCCUAUCAGCUUGUUGGUGAGGUAAUGGCUCACCAAGGCGUCGACGGGUAGCCGGCCUGAGAGGGUGACCGGCCACACUGGGACUGAGACACGGCCCAGACUCCUACGGGAGGCAGCAGUGGGGAAUAUUGCACAAUGGGCGAAAGCCUGAUGCAGCAACGCCGCGUGAGGGACGACGGCCUUCGGGUUGUAAACCUCUUUUAGCAGGGAAGAAGCGAAAGUGACGGUACCUGCAGAAAAAGCGCCGGCUAACUACGUG
RNAcentral lists this ribosomal RNA (468 nucleotides) under uncultured bacterium. Its description in RNAcentral is "partial 16S ribosomal RNA". It matches the Rfam family "Bacterial small subunit ribosomal RNA", at positions 28 to 507 of the family's 1533-position model. The record is from RNAcentral.